This is a long non-coding RNA of Macrobrachium nipponense, 191 nucleotides long. RefSeq lists it as uncharacterized. The transcript has 2 exons. NCBI's taxonomy places the organism in Eukaryota, Metazoa, Arthropoda, Malacostraca, Decapoda, Palaemonidae. The record is from RefSeq and is a predicted model, not a curated record.
GAAUUAUGUACUACGUGGACGUCAGUUUGGACUGUUGGUAUAUAUAUAAUUUUAGAUUUUCCAAGGUAUUUUGGAAGUGGCUGAAUUACUGCGGCUCCCCCAAGCUUCACGAUGAUCAACUUUGUGUAUUAGCUGCCGCAUCAGCACCUGGAUGAUAGGACAGUUUUCAAUUACAAUAAAUUACUUAAUUU